CGGCUGUAGCCAAAUUGAAAUUCGGUUAGGGAAGUUUACUGGCCGGUUGUUGUUAGAUCCAUUUUUGGGUCUCGUCGACAAAUCUGCUUACCGAGCUUCUCACACUC
Small nucleolar RNA from Arachis stenosperma, 107 nucleotides. RefSeq annotates it as small nucleolar RNA snoR109. The record is from RefSeq and is a predicted model, not a curated record. The transcript has a single exon. Lineage: Eukaryota; Viridiplantae; Streptophyta; Magnoliopsida; Fabales; Fabaceae.